CAGUCGAGCGAGCUUGCCUAUAGAAAUUCUUCGGAAUGGACAUAGAUACAAGCUAGCGGCGGAUGGGUGAGUAACGCGUGGGUAACCUGCCCUUAAGUCUGGGAUACCAUUUGGAAACAGAUGCUAAUACCGGAUAAAAGCUACUUUCGCAUGAAAGAAGUUUAAAAGGCGGCGUAAGCUGUCGCUAAAGGAUGGACCUGCGAUGCAUUAGCUAGUUGGUAAGGUAACGGCUUACCAAGGCGAUGAUGCAUAGCCGAGUUGAGAGACUGAUCGGCCACAUUGGGACUGAGACACGGCCCAAACUCCUACGGGAGGCAGCAGUAGGGAAUCUUCCACAAUGGACGAAAGUCUGAUGGAGCAACGCCGCGUGAGUGAAGAAGGUUUUCGGAUCGUAAAGCUCUGUUGUUGGUGAAGAAGGAUAGAGGUAGUAACUGGCCUUUAUUUGACGGUAAUCAACCAGAAAGUCACGGCUAACUACGUGCCAGCAGCCGCGGUAAUACGUAGGUGGCAAGCGUUGUCCGGAUUUAUUGGGCGUAAAGCGAGCGCAGGCGGAUUGAUAAGUCUGAUGUGAAAGCCUUCGGCUCAACCGAAGAACUGCAUCAGAAACUGUCAAUCUUGAGUGCAGAAGAGGAGAGUGGAACUCCAUGUGUAGCGGUGGAAUGCGUAGAUAUAUGGAAGAACACCAGUGGCGAAGGCGGCUCUCUGGUCUGUAACUGACGCUGAGGCUCGAAAGCAUGGGUAGCGAACAGGAUUAGAUACCCUGGUAGUCCAUGCCGUAAACGAUGAGUGCUAAGUGUUGGGAGGUUUCCGCCUCUCAGUGCUGCAGCUAACGCAUUAAGCACUCCGCCUGGGGAGUACGACCGCAAGGUUGAAACUCAAAGGAAUUGACGGGGGCCCGCACAAGCGG
RNAcentral lists this ribosomal RNA (907 nucleotides) under Lactobacillus jensenii. Its description in RNAcentral is "bacterial SSU rRNA". It matches the Rfam family "Bacterial small subunit ribosomal RNA", at positions 59 to 932 of the family's 1533-position model. The record is from RNAcentral. Lineage: Bacteria; Bacillati; Bacillota; Bacilli; Lactobacillales; Lactobacillaceae.